ACAGCCAAUCAGGUUUUUUCAGAUGGGAGAGCUUUCCUGUACGUUAGCAGAGCAGCCAUUAUGCAGCUUAUCAAACGAGGGAGAAGAUGAGAUGAUCAGAGAUCGAUAAAAGUUUGGUUUUUGUUCAUUUUACUCGGUGGUGAAGUUGGGUUUUGCCUGAAGAAAAAAAUACUAUUUUCAUGUACUCAACGGGACUUGGUUGGGCCGAAUAAAGCGGAUUCUUUUCUGAGAUCCAUGAGCGGAAGAAACAAGAUGGCGAACCAACCCUGAACCAUGAAAGUGAUCCUAGCGAAGCACCAAGCGCCCUCUGCUGGACACUGGACAACCCUUACUCUACUGGAACUGCAGGUGGCGUUUGAGUCUGUGAGGCGGUAUGGAGACGUUAGCCAGCAUCAAAAUGGCAGAAGGACCAGAGUCAUCGUCAGUCGACUUUGUUGCUCUCCAGUCUUACAGGUAAACGCAGCUGAGGCAUCAACAUCCCAUCACUCCAGCCAGCCUUCAGCUCAGGGACCAGAGGUUCAGGCACUUACCUCCAGACACAUGAUAUGAACACCACCGCUGGCAUUGUGGCCUCAACCAUGUCUGGUAAUCCCUAUUCCAGCAAUAACAAGGACCCUCUGCUCAGCUGACUUGAGGGGGGGGGCAAUGGAAAGAAAUCCUUUUUCCUGUUGCUCUAAAUGGAUAGCUAUUAAUACACUUAUUUAAUACAGUUAAUAUCAUCUUAUUAUACUCUGAAUGUCAGAAUCCAGCUUCUGCUCUGAUGAACAUCAAUCCCCAUAUUAAUAAUGGCCCCCCCCUGAAAAUCCUCCCUAAAAGAAAAGAGGGAUAAGCUGCAGUCAGAAAGUUCUGAACGAUCCUCACGGACACACUGACCCAACCACGGUGGGAGCUCACCUUAGUCGGGCAGCUGUGCUGCAGCACGGUCCUCCCUUUCCUCAGCCUGGUAGGGCUGAAGAUUCCAGAGGAGACAGUCCACGGCAGCCCCGAAGGGCAGCCGAAAACAAGAACUGCCUCCCCUGGCCGUGCAGCCGGACUGCUGCCGAAUUCCAGGGAGGGCGGGGGGAUCUGUGGGAGGGGGAUGAAGACGAUGCAGAUUUGAGCAGAUCUUUGACACCCCCUACUACAGGGGUCAGGGACCCCAUUCUUCAGCUCCACCUGGAAAACGGUGAGGACACAAUCAGAUCUAUUUCCUGUUCUUCAAACAAUGAUGAAUUUGGGUUUUAGUAAAACAUCGUUGCUGUCGCUCACCUGAAUCCUGUGGUUCCCCUUCACCACGUGGACACAGGUUAUGAUGUCACCAUAGGGCGAUAUCAUAAAACCUGUGCCCACACUCCUAAACAAGUUCAGGAGGGAUACACUUCUAACGAGAUGUUGCAUAUUUCUAUUUUAGAAUAAAUGUUGUAUAUCUUACUGGGUUGCCAACCUAUUGUUGGAAUGGACUCGGAGCUGCUGCCAGACAUUGUCAUGUUCUGUAGCCUCACUGACUGAAGCUUGAGGCACUUCUGUUUUUAUUCAAAUACAAGUCACGUUUUAUAACAAUAUAAAUAAAUAAAUAUAAACGAUACGUUUUUAUCAAUGGUUAAACAGGGUUAAUGACUAAACCAACAAGAAGGCAUCCAGAAAUGAUUUUUUCCAAACACAGGAUUUGUUAGCUGUCCUAUGAAGUCUGGACCACAGAACAAAUCCUGAAGGUUGUUGAGUUUUUUCAGAAAAAAAAAGAAAACAACACUUAUGGUGAAAAAAAGUAAAAAUCUAUUUAUUUAAAGCACAAAAUGAUGAGAAUCUAUGUCCUGAUAGCAGCAGAAGCCACACCACAGAAGGAAUGGUGGCGUCCACAAUAUCAGGGAUAACCUCCCGCCUCCUUAAAAGGGGGACGGAGCUCCCUUCAGGUGAGGGGGGGCUUUGAGAAUCUAUUGUAGUACUUUUAAAUGAUUGAUAAGAAGAAAAGGGAGAGGACAAAGAGGAAGCACAUUCUCACCAAUGUUGUUACAUGGAUGAGGGCGAUGUCAUUAUCCUCAUCCACAUUUUCAAUGGUGGCCUGCAAAUAACCCCCACUCUUCAGCUUGACCUGAAUCCUGUGGCUCCCCUUUACAACGUGGGCACAGGUUAUAAUAUCACCAUAGGGUGAGAUUAUGAACCCUGUGCCCCCACUCCUGAAUGUGCUCCUAAGGGAUGCACUUCUAAAGAGAGACAGAGGGGACAACAGAUUUAAAGGGCAUGUAUGCCAUGCAAUUCUUAAGCUUACAUGCAUAUAUAUAUGACAAUAUGUUACCUUUGGCUCACUUAAGAACGAUUUUUGAAAAUAAAGUUAGUUAUUUAAGUCGCUUUUGCAUAUUUGUAUAUUGGUAUAUUUGUGUACAUAUAUAUAUUUGUAUAUUUAUAUAUUUACUUUUGUGUGUGUGUAAGAUAAUUGUUGUUUUCUUCUUUCUCUUUACACCAAUGUGGGACAGUUUGCAAUUUUGUUGUACUGUUGUACCAAGUGUGUGAUUGUACAAUGACAAUAAAGCUUUAUCUAUCUA
Oryzias latipes (Japanese medaka) is the source of this 2519-nucleotide non-coding RNA. The record is from RefSeq and is a predicted model, not a curated record. NCBI's taxonomy places the organism in Eukaryota, Metazoa, Chordata, Actinopteri, Beloniformes, Adrianichthyidae.